This 21-nucleotide non-coding RNA is filed under the name Caenorhabditis elegans. Lineage: Eukaryota; Metazoa; Nematoda; Chromadorea; Rhabditida; Rhabditidae. The record is from RNAcentral.
UGCUGGACGAUGGAAAUUUUG